UUAUUUUUAUUAGAAUAAUAUUUAUGAAUUAUAAAAAAUUAUAUAUAAAUAAUUAAAAAUUAUGAAAUGUGAUAAAAGGAAAAAAAUAAUAUUAAUGAUGUCUUACAUGUCCUUUCAUGACAUAUAAAUGUUUUUUUUUUUUUUUAUGUGGACGUCGAGUUCUAUAUGGUUGGCGGUUAUUAUUUGUACUUUCAGCAGCAGCAGAAUUAAUAUUAAGAUCAGGAGUCACCGAGUUCGGAUCUUGUGUUAAUGUGAGGGUAAAUAGAUAUCAUCAGAUCCAAAAGUGGAGCACUACUGUUCCGAUGUGUACUAUACAAAAUUGCCAGAGAAUGGUUGUGCUUCUAGGCUAGAUGAAGAAAUAUCUACAGAAUGUCUAGCCGAAAAUGCAUUAAUGGAGCUGGUAUAUCGUGUAAAAGCAUCAAAAGUACUACUUAUCGAGGUCUUGCUGAAGGCUGUCUAAUCUCACCAAAUGAUCGAUGAGUGUGGAAUACAACGGGUGCUGGAAUGAUGAUAUUUGUCGGGACAGUGGUAUGUACAUCAACAUCAGUUUCUUCGCUAGAGCCACGUUUACGCCUAGGCCUUCUCGGUGGGUCAACAGACUCGUCAGGGUCAUUUAGCAUAGAUUGCGUCUAAGGUGCCGACUGUGGUAGAGGUUCCUCUGUUAUUCGUUUCUCUUUUUCCAUGGCAUAGAAUAUGCCUGUUGUUUGUCUUUUAAUAAAAUAUGUGUCUAGAUUAGAAAACUGUCGAUUAAUCAAAUGCAUAUUCUCGAUACCAUCCAUCUGUUGGUAUAACAAUAAUUAAAUAUUGAUAUGUUUAAAAAAAAUAUACAUAUGAAAAUAUAAUAAAUAAUAAAAUAUUAUCACAGUGUCAAUAGCGGCACCAUGAUGCGAUAUCCAUUGACGAGAAACUCGUCUAUACCUUUCUAAAUACUCUGAAUGAUAAUGUAGUGUUCAUCUAACGGUGCUGCUUCAACCAACCUUUGUCAUUUAUCUUUUCAAAUUGCAAUUCAACGUUCAUGAAUUGUAAUUCAAUUAUUGUCGGAUGUAAUAUAGAUGUAUUGUAAAGAUUAGCAGGCUGACGUGUGACGUGGUGGAUGUGGUAUUGGUUAUUGCAUUCUGAAUUGGCGCAACACUAUUAGAUUGAUAUUAUUCUACUACGUGGAAGCAGAUCAAGAGAACCGCUGCUCUCCAAAUGUCACAUCCUUGUAUGCUUGCAAUAUAAUAGUAAUUAUGUAAGGAGUUCAUAAGAAUAUGGUUCUCAUACCAUCUGAAAUAAAAAAAAUAUAUAUAUUUAUUAGAAAUUUUUAAAACAUAUCAUAGUAAUCUAAGUACAUUUCAUAAUUCAUAUAAUACCUCUAGGUCACCCAUUCUGUCAAAUUUAGCGUAUUUCUGUCAAUACAUGUGUCACGAUUUAAGUGAUACGUUGUGCAUUACUCCAUCUGAAAUUAUUAUAAAACAAACACAAAAAUUUAAUAUAAAUGUGUAAUAUGCAAAUCAUAAUAAUGUCAUAAUAAAUAUAAAAUAUUAACUGACUUCUCGGUGGAGCAUCAUUAUGUAGGUCUCGUAUAUUUAUAGAUGACGAUAUUGAAAUAAAUCGAUCUCAUGCCUAUAUCUGUAGGAUGUGUAGGGCUCAAUCUAAUUAAGACACUCUCGAUCAGUGGCUCGACAAAGUUUCCGAUAUAACCAGUCAAGACAAGCUGAACCCUAAUUAUGCAUGCUUACUCUAUGUAAAUUAGCAAUUAGAGGCAUAAGCAUUAGUAUCACUUUACUAGGAUUCCUAUCAGUGAAUAGAAAAUCCCCAAUGAUUCGCAAAAUGCAAACACGGGCAUAUCUCUAAACCAUUUCUUCAUCAAUAUCAUCUAGUAGUUCAUUAAAAUUUUUGACUAAUCAACUUAGUGGCAACGAGCUACCCUACAUUAUAUUAGCGGGCAGUACGAGUCCUAAAGUAUCCUGAUAGUACAUCAUCCAAUUGAUAACAAAAUUACCUACAACAGCAUCUUCAUCAAUAGGUAGGUUCGAAAUAACACUGAUGUUCUGGAGAGUAAUUGUACACUCUUCCGCUGGCAUCAUAAAUGUAUGUGUUUCUGGACGCCAUCUCUCAACCAGUGAUGUGAUUAAAUGAUGAUCCAGCGAAAAGAAGUCUAAUCUGAUAUCACUAUAAAAUCUAGAAAUUUUGAGAUAAGUCUCAAUACGGGGAUAGAAAUCCUGCUUCAAAACACUCGCAGAUCGCAUAUAAUGUAGUGGCUCAUUUUCAAUUUUCUCAUUCCAAAUCGACUGGUUUAUGAGACUGCUGUUGUGUCAAUAUAGACUGAUCAAGAAAAUCCGGACUCGUGUAAUCAUGUUAAUUUUGUCUGCCCAUCAUAUCUGUAAAAUAAAAUGUGAACAAAUAUGUCAUAAAUUGAUAAUAAUUAUCAUUAAAAAUAUAAGUACGAAUAACAUGCAAUUUUAUUAGAUACUUUCACAUUCGAUAGUUGCGUAAUAUCAUGCAAGUAAUUUAUACAUUUAUGUGUCACAUUCAGAGAAGUAUGUGUAAGAAAACUCACAAGCAAUGCCGAUGUGUAUAUCAUAUUUUUUGUAUUAUAUUUCAGAACUAGUCACUUGGAAGGUCAUAUUACAUGUCGUAAAUUUGCAGUAUGUAUCAAAAAAGUCAUAUGCAAAGUAAUCGUACAUAUCAUAAUUUUGUAGUAAGUAUCAGAAAAGUCACAUGCAAUGUAAUAGUACAUGUUAUAAUUUUGUAGUAUGUAUCAGAGAAGUCACUUGCAAGAUAAUAGUAAAUGUCAUAAUUUUUUAGUAUGUAAUAGAGAAGUUAUAUGCAAUAUAAUAGUAUAUAUCAUAAUUUUUUAGUAUGUAUCAUAUCACAUGCAAAAUAAUAAUACAUGCAUGGAUAUAGUACAAUGUCAUUAUUGUAAUAAUGCAGUAUAGGUAAUAUGAAAUGCUUGUGAUCCAUAUUGUAUAUAAGUACGAAAAUUCAGCAUUCUUGUGUGAUCAUAGAAGAAUGGCUGGAAGUUCAUCAUUCAAUGAGAGGGUCGAGUGUGGUUGCUUCCAAAUUUCAAUAAUGAUUAUAAGAAAAAGAAGUAUGGUGGUUGUAGAGAAUAUUAUGCUCGUUUUAGAAGAGAGUGGAGUUUCAGGUUUGACGAAUCAAACAAACUUGUUACUGAUUUACAGUCAUUGGGUGCUCCUAUUAUAAAACGUCAUUCUCUUAAUAUGGCAAAGAAUAAAAUAAGAGCAUAUAAGGAAUUUCCGUAUCAUUCGAAAAGAAAACAGUAGAUUAUUGUUUCGUCGUUGCAGGUUAUAUAUGUAUAAAUUGGCAAAAGAACAAGCAGCUGCGGUGGAUUGUGAGCUCAAGAAACAUAAUGAAUAAUCCAAAUUAUGCAUCUGAUGAAGAAAUGUCUGAUGAAGAGUAACUGUUACCUUAUGCUAUCUACUAUCGCAGUUUAAUAUUUGUGGUGGCAAAUAAUUGUAUUGUUAUGUUAUCUACAAUUGGAUAUGUUAUAAAUAUAAUAUGUGGAAUGUAUGUAAUAUGUAUUACUAUGUUAUCUACAAUAAAAAGUGUUAUAAAUAUAUUAUAAUUAAUAAUUUUUUUCAA
This is a long non-coding RNA of Manihot esculenta (cassava), 3585 nucleotides long. RefSeq lists it as uncharacterized. The record is from RefSeq and is a predicted model, not a curated record. NCBI's taxonomy places the organism in Eukaryota, Viridiplantae, Streptophyta, Magnoliopsida, Malpighiales, Euphorbiaceae. The transcript is spliced from 2 exons.